GUGCUUGCUUCAGCAGCACUUAAGCUAAAAUUGGAACAAUACAGAGAAGAUUAGCAUGGUCCAUACACAAGGAUGACAUACAAAUUGGUUAAAACCAGAGCAGAAAU
Suncus etruscus (white-toothed pygmy shrew) is the source of this 107-nucleotide small nuclear RNA. NCBI's taxonomy places the organism in Eukaryota, Metazoa, Chordata, Mammalia, Eulipotyphla, Soricidae. The record is from RefSeq and is a predicted model, not a curated record.